UACGUAGGUGGCGAGCGUUGUCCGGAUUUACUGGGCGUAAAGGGAGCGUAGGCGGACUUUUAAGUGAGAUGUGAAAUACUCGGGCUCAACUUGAGUGCUGCAUUUCAAACUGGAAGUCUAGAGUGCAGGAGAGGAGAAUGGAAUUCCUAGUGUAGCGGUGAAAUGCGUAGAGAUAGGAAGAACACCAGUGGCGAAGGCGAUUCUCUGGACUGUGACUGACGCUGAGGCUCGAAAGCGUGGGGAGCAAACAGG
Molecule: ribosomal RNA, 252 nt
Filed under: uncultured bacterium
Lineage: Bacteria
Description: partial 16S ribosomal RNA
Rfam family: Bacterial small subunit ribosomal RNA
Source: RNAcentral